UACGGAGGGUGCGAGCGUUGUCCGGAAUCACUGGGCGUAAAGGGCUCGUAGGUGGCCAACUAAGUCAGACGUGAAAUCCCUCAGCUUAACUGGGGAACUGCGUCUGAUACUGGAUGGCUUGAGUUUGGGAGAGGGAUGCGGAAUUCCAGGUGUAGCGGUGAAAUGCGUAGAUAUCUGGAGGAACACCGGUGGCGAAGGCGGCAUCCUGGACCAACACUGACACUGAUGAGCGAAAGCCAGGGGAGCAAACGGG
This 253-nucleotide ribosomal RNA is filed under the name uncultured bacterium. RNAcentral describes it as "partial 16S ribosomal RNA". It matches the Rfam family "Bacterial small subunit ribosomal RNA", at positions 524 to 776 of the family's 1533-position model. The record is from RNAcentral.